Molecule: ribosomal RNA, 257 nt
Filed under: uncultured soil bacterium
Lineage: Bacteria
Description: partial 16S ribosomal RNA
Rfam family: Bacterial small subunit ribosomal RNA
Source: RNAcentral
AGGACGAACGCUGGCGGCGUGCUUAACACAUGCAAGUCGAGCGGAAAGGCCCUUCGGGGUACUCGAGCGGCGAACGGGUGAGUAACACGUGAGUAACCUGCCCUCAGCUUUGGGAUAACCCUCGGAAACGGGGGCUAAUACCGGGUAUUCACUGUCUGCGGCAUCGUGGGUGGUGGAAAGUUUUUGCGGCUGGGGGAUGGGCUCGCGGCCUAUCAGCUUGUUGGUGGGGUAAUGGCCUACCAAGGCGGCGACGGGUA